This 497-nucleotide ribosomal RNA is filed under the name uncultured bacterium. RNAcentral's name for it is "partial 16S ribosomal RNA". It matches the Rfam family "Bacterial small subunit ribosomal RNA", at positions 28 to 507 of the family's 1533-position model. The record is from RNAcentral.
GAUGAACGCUGGCGGCGUGCCUAAUACAUGCAAGUCGAGCGAACAGACGAGGAGCUUGCUCCUCUGACGUUAGCGGCGGACGGGUGAGUAACACGUGGAUAACCUACCUAUAAGACUGGGAUAACUUCGGGAAACCGGAGCUAAUACCGGAUAAUAUAUUGAACCGCAUGGUUCAAUAGUGAAAGACGGUUGUGCUGUCACGUAUAGAGGGAUCCGCGCCGCAUUAGCUAGUUGGUAAGGUAACGGCUUACCAAGGCAAGGAUGCGUAGCCGAACUGAGAGGGUGAUCGGCCACCCGAGAACUGAGACACGCUCCAGACUCCUGCGGGAGGGAGCAGUAGGGAAUCUUCCGCAAUGGUCGAGAGCCUGACGCAGCAAGGCCGCGUGAGUGAUGAAGGUCUUCGGAUCGUAAAACUCUGUUAUUAGGGAAGAACAAAUGUGUCAGUAACUAUGCACGUCUUGACGGUAACUAAUCAGAAAGCAACGGCUAACUACGUG